Non-coding RNA from Cricetulus griseus (Chinese hamster), 1676 nucleotides. The record is from RefSeq and is a predicted model, not a curated record. Lineage: Eukaryota; Metazoa; Chordata; Mammalia; Rodentia; Cricetidae.
UGAAAUGCUAUCCUGAAUGUCAAGUUAAGAAGAAUUCCGAGCCUCUCAAUACAAGGAACUGAUGAAUGUCUCAAGGCAUAGAGAUUAUUUGAUCAUUAACUAUUGUAUAUAGCUAUCAAGUUAUCCCAGAGAAGCCACGUAAGUGGUACAAUUUUCUUCUCACUAUUUUGUGAUACUUUGUACAUAUUAGGCAAGCCCUCUGUGUUAAACUAUCUCUCCGGUAUGUAUAAUGAUCAUAUGUCAACUGAAAAGUAAAUGUGAAGGGCUGAAAGGUAGCUCAGUGGGCAAGAGAACUUUCUGCUCUUCUUCCAGGGGUCUCACAGUAAGCCCCCAGCACCCAAUGCCCUCUUCCAGCCUGCAGCAGGCACCAGGCACACACAUGGCACACAGACAUCCAUGAAGUUAAAACAUCCUCAUACGUAAAAAUUUUAAAUUAAAUUUAAACAUUUUCAUAUGAAAAUAUUUUGAAGGCAAACAUUAUUCAGAAUUUUUGUUUGUUUGUUUUUUUCAAAACAGUGUUUCUCUGAGUAGCCCUGGCUGUCUUGCAACUAGCUCUGUUUAUCAGGCUGACCUUGGGCUCAGAGAUCUGCCUGCUUCUGCCUCCUGAGUGCUGGGAUUGGAUUAAAGCUUGGUGACCUUGAGAAAGUGCAGUGGUCACUGGAACUCUUUCUUCCUGUCUCUGGAAAGUCUUGGAUGCUGAAUUUCAUGGUCGGUUCAAGGACCCUCCAGAUCUAGCAGCUUGUUUGAUGAAGUGACCCAUCUUCAAUUCACUUUGCCUCGGCCCAGGCUAAAACUGGAUCUACUUUGGACAGGCAAGAGAAGAAAUCACCAGGUGCAUACAACACUGCCACAUUUUGUACUCUUGAAACCACCAUGGCUCAGCAUGGGGGAAAUCAAAACCACUCCUGGAAAUUCUGGUGGCCAAGCCACUGAGGAACUCAGAAGAGUGUGGGAGAGUGUCUUAGUUAGAUUUCCUAUCGCUGUGGAGAGAUACCAUGACCACACAACUCUUAUACUGGAAAAUAUUUAAUUGUGGUGGCUCACUUACAUUUCAGAGGUUUUAUUUAGUCCACUGUCUUCAUGAAAGGAAGCAAAGCAGCAUUCAGGCAGACAUGGUGCUGGAGAAGGAGCCGAGAGUUCGACUCAAGGGCAACAUGAAGUGGUCUGAGACACUGGGAGGUUAUCUUGAGAUUUCAAAGCCCACCUCCACGGUGACACACUUCCUCCAACAAGGGCAAAACCUCUCCAUCAAAGCCACACCUCCUAUUAGUACCACUCCCUUUAUUCCAUUUUUUAAUCUGUUCAUGUCCUUGAAUGAAGGACUUAGAUCCAUCCCACUUUCUGAUGUUCCUUUUCUCCUCAAAUAUUUUUUUCCCUCCUCAGCUCUCUCCUGUUGUAGAAAUUCCUUUAACUAGGUAGAGAUGUAUUACUUUUGUUUAUGCUGUGGAGUAUUGCUUUAACUGUGUAAAGAUGUGUUACUUUUGUUUAAUUCUGUAAAGAUGGGAUGGGCUUGUUUCACCUCCCCUGCCUAAGGCACCUGAUUGGUCUAAUAAAAAUUCAAGUGGUCAACAGCUAUGCAGGAAUGGGACAGGCGGGACUGGCAGGCAGAGAGAAUAAGUAGGAGGAGAAAUCUAGGCUCAAGAGAGAAGAAAAAGAAGUGAAUGAGGGAGACAGAG